RNAcentral lists this ribosomal RNA (253 nucleotides) under uncultured bacterium. RNAcentral's name for it is "partial 16S ribosomal RNA". It matches the Rfam family "Bacterial small subunit ribosomal RNA", at positions 524 to 776 of the family's 1533-position model. The record is from RNAcentral.
UACGUAGGUGGCAAGCGUUGUCCGGAAUUAUUGGGCGUAAAGAGCGCGCAGGCGGUCGUUCAAGUCGCGUGUGAAAGCCCCCGGCUCAACUGGGGAGGGUCACGCGAUACUGAUCGACUGGAAGGCAGGAGAGGGUAGUGGAAUUCCCGGUGUAGUGGUGAAAUGCGUAGAUAUCGGGAGGAACACCAGUGGCGAAGGCGACUACCUGGCCUGUUCUUGACGCUGAGGCGCGAAAGCUAGGGGAGCAAACGGG